AACGAACGCUGGCGGCAGGCUUAACACAUGCAAGUCGAACGGGAUCCCAGCUUGCUAGGUGAGAGUGGCGGACGGGUGAGUAACACGUGGGAAUCUGCCUUUUGGUUCGGGAUAACCGCGGGAAACUGCGGCUAAUACCGAAUGCCCUCGAGAGAGGAAAGAUUUAUCGCCAGAAGAGGAGCCCGCGUCCGAUUAGGUAGUUGGUGGGGUAAAGGCCUACCAAGCCGACGAUCGGUAGCUGGUCUGAGAGGAUGAUCAGCCACACUGGGACUGAGAUACGGCCCAGACUCCUACGGGAGGCAGCAGUGGGGAAUAUUGGACAAUGGGGGCAACCCUGAUCCAGCAAUGCCGCGUGAGUGAUGAAGGCCUUAGGGUUGUAAAGCUCUUUUGCCAGGGAAGAUGAUGACUGUACCUGGAGAAUAAGCCCCGGCUAACUUCGUGCCAGCAGCCGCGGUAAU
Molecule: ribosomal RNA, 458 nt
Filed under: uncultured bacterium
Lineage: Bacteria
Description: bacterial SSU rRNA
Rfam family: Bacterial small subunit ribosomal RNA
Source: RNAcentral